Molecule: long non-coding RNA, 328 nt
Organism: Triplophysa dalaica
Lineage: Eukaryota; Metazoa; Chordata; Actinopteri; Cypriniformes; Nemacheilidae
Exons: 3
Source: RefSeq, a predicted model, not a curated record
GGGUGGAGGUUGAAACUGGAUUUAACUGACUCUUAAAAGAAGAAAGUAAAGAGAUCAGAAGGAGAGUUAAAGGUGUGUUGAUGAAGGAGUGAAUGUAAAGAACGUAUCGCCAUAUAUAAGACUGAAGUUGUCUAAUAGUGGAUUUUUUCGGACAGUGCAAUUGGCCUAGUCUGCACCCCAAGCCUGACUCCAUAUUGCCGCCAGGUGUAAGCUGACGUCGGUAUGGACAGUGGAACGGUCAGCAUCAGAUCAGACUUCCUCAGCCGAUUUCCAUCAUCGUGAAAGCUUUCCUACAAAUGGCCUGUGAAUUAAAUCCAGGAGAUGGCAA